Molecule: ribosomal RNA, 475 nt
Filed under: Globigerinoides ruber albus
Lineage: Eukaryota; Foraminifera; Rotaliida; Globigerinidae
Description: SSU rRNA
Rfam family: Eukaryotic small subunit ribosomal RNA
Source: RNAcentral
UAAUUUGACUCAACACGGGAAAUCUUACCGGGUCCGGACGUAUCGAGGAUUGACAGAUAGUUAUACAUGCCCUACAAGCAAGUAGGAGUCAGGUUUUAAACCUAAUGGCUCUUUCAUGAUUAUAUGAUAGGUGGUGCAUGGCCGUUCUUAGUUCGUGGAGUGAUCUGUCUGCUUAAUUGCGUUUCAAAUUUUUAACCGAGGACCGGGUUUUGGUUUGGCUAGUGGUCCUACGAUGACUGUGAACUGUCAUGUCUUCGGAUGUACGACUAUCGGUCUAGGAUCACAUGACUUGCCCCUGGGACUCUUUUGAACGCAACGGACGUGAUUGCAACCCCUUGUUGAGAUUAGAGAUAGUCUCGAUAUUCACUGGCCAAACUGGCUGCUUUAUGCAGUCUUGUUGAAUGGUGGAUAAACUCGGGGGACUGCUGACUAUAACCAUUUCUCAAAACAGAGGAAGGUUGCGGCAAUAACAGGU